Molecule: ribosomal RNA, 245 nt
Filed under: uncultured Devosia sp.
Lineage: Bacteria; Pseudomonadati; Pseudomonadota; Alphaproteobacteria; Hyphomicrobiales; Devosiaceae
Description: partial 16S ribosomal RNA
Rfam family: Bacterial small subunit ribosomal RNA
Source: RNAcentral
UACGAAGGGGGCUAGCGUUGUUCGGAUUUACUGGGCGUAAAGCGCACGUAGGCGGGUCGUUAAGUCGGGGGUGAAAUCCUGGAGCUCAACUCCAGAACUGCCUUCGAUACUGGCGACCUAGAGUCCGGAAGAGGUGAGUGGAACUCCUAGUGUAGAGGUGGAAUUCGUAGAUAUUAGGAAGAACACCAGUGGCGAAGGCGGCUCACUGGUCCGGUACUGACGCUGAGGUGCGAAAGCGUGGGGAG